This 497-nucleotide ribosomal RNA is filed under the name uncultured bacterium. Its description in RNAcentral is "partial 16S ribosomal RNA". It matches the Rfam family "Bacterial small subunit ribosomal RNA", at positions 28 to 507 of the family's 1533-position model. The record is from RNAcentral.
GAUGAACGCUGGCGGCGUGCCUAAUACAUGCCAGUCGAGCGAACAGACGAGGAGCUUGCUCCUCUGACGUUAGCGGCGGACGGGUGAGUAACACGUGGAUAACCUACCUAUAAGACUGGGAUAACUUCGGGAAACCGGAGCUAAUACCGGAUAAUAUAUUGAACCGCAUGGUUCAAUAGUGAAAGACGGUUUUGCUGUCACUUAUAGAUGGAUCCGCGCCGCAUUAGCUAGUUGGUAAGGUAACGGCUUACCAAGGCGACGAUGCGUAGCCGACCUGAGAGGGUGAUCGGUCACACUGGAACUGAGACACGGUCCAGACUCCUACGGGAGGCAGCAGUAGGGAAUCUUCCGCAAUGGGCGAAAGCCUGACGGAGCAACGCCGCGUGAGUGAUGAAGGUCUUCGGAUCGUAAAACUCUGUUAUUAGGGAAGAACAAAUGUGUAAGUAACUAUGCACGUCUUGACGGUACCUAAUCAGAAAGCCACGGCUAACUACGUG